Molecule: ribosomal RNA, 169 nt
Filed under: uncultured bacterium
Lineage: Bacteria
Description: partial 16S ribosomal RNA
Rfam family: Bacterial small subunit ribosomal RNA
Source: RNAcentral
CCUACGGGAGGCAGCAGUGAGGAAUCUUCCACAAUGGGCGAAAGCCUGAUGGAGCGACACCGCGUGAAGGAUGAAGGCUUUGUUGUUGUAAACUUCUUUUCUGUGGGAAGAUAAUGACGGUACCACAUGAAUAAGGGACGGCUAACUACGUGCCAGCAGCCGCGGUAAU